Molecule: ribosomal RNA, 449 nt
Filed under: uncultured bacterium
Lineage: Bacteria
Description: partial 16S ribosomal RNA
Rfam family: Bacterial small subunit ribosomal RNA
Source: RNAcentral
AACGAACGCUGGCGGCAUGCCUAACACAUGCAAGUCGAGCGAGAUCUUCGGGUCUAGUGGCGCACGGGUGCGUAACGCGUGGGAAUCUGCCCUUUGGUUCGGAAUAACAGUCGGAAACGACUGCUAAUACCGGAUGAUGACGAAAGUCCAAAGAUUUAUCGCCAGAGGAUGAGCCCGCGUAGGAUUAGCUAGUUGGUGUGGUAAAGGCGCACCAAGGCGACGAUCCUUAGCUGGUCCGAGAGGAUGAUCAGCCACACUGGGACUGAGACACGGCCCAGACUCCUACGGGAGGCAGCAGUGGGGAAUAUUGGACAAUGGGCGAAAGCCUGAUCCAGCAAUGCCGCGUGAGUGAUGAAGGCCUUAGGGUUGUAAAGCUCUUUUACCCGGGAUGAUAAUGACAGUACCGGGAGAAUAAGCUCCGGCUAACUCCGUGCCAGCCGCCGCCGUAA